Molecule: ribosomal RNA, 514 nt
Filed under: Tropidophora sp. ansn28
Lineage: Eukaryota; Metazoa; Mollusca; Gastropoda; Littorinimorpha; Pomatiidae
Description: partial 16S ribosomal RNA
Rfam family: Bacterial large subunit ribosomal RNA
Source: RNAcentral
GUCUCUUUGGUAUUUCGUUUAUAAAGAGUCUGGCCUGCCCAGUGAUUAAUUUAACGGCCGCAGUAUCUUGACUGUGCGAAGGUAGCAUAAUCACUUGCUUUAUAAUUGAAGGCUAGUAUGAAAGGUUGGACGAAAAUAAUACUGUCUCAGAUAAAUUUUUUAGAAUUUAACAUUUAAGUGAAAAGGCUUAAAUUGGAUUAAUAGACAAGAAGACCCUAUCGAGCUUUAAAAGAGGAAUAAAUUGAAAUAAAUAAUGGAUAUAUUGUUUAAUUGUUAGUAUUUUUUGGUUGGGGUGACUAAGGAACAAAUUGAGCUUCCUUUAAAUUUUAUAAAACUUUGGUUGUUGAUCCAAUAUAAUAUUGAUUAAAGAUUUAGUUACCGUAGGGAUAACAGCACGAUCUUUCUUCAGAGCUCGAAUCGAAAGAGAGGAUUGUGACCUCGAUGUUGGAUUAAAAUUUCCUAAAGGUGCAGAAGCUUUAUAAUAAGGGUUGGUCUGUUCGACCAUUAAAAUUUU